GACGAACGCUGGCGGCGUGCUUAACACAUGCCAGUCGAACGGGAUCCGGGCUUUCGGGUUUGGUGAGAGUGGCGAACGGGUGAGUAACACGUGAGUAACCUGCCCCCUUCUUUGGGAUAACGUCGGGAAAUCGGCGCUAAUACUGGAUAUUCUUGCUGCAUCGCAUGGUGUGGUUUGGAAAGGGUUUCUGGUGGGGGAUGGGCUCGCGGCCUAUCAGCUUGUUGGUGGGGUGAUGGCCUACCAAGGCUUUGACGGGUAGCCGGCCUGAGGGGGUGUCCGGCCACACUGGGACUGAGACACGGCCCAGACUCCUACGGGAGGCAGCAGUGGGGAAUAUUGCACAAUGGGCGCAAGCCUGAUGCAGCGACGCCGCGGGAGGGAUGACGGCCUUCGGGUUGUAAACCUCUUUCAGUAUGGAACAAGGAUCCUUCUUUUGGGGGGUUUGAGGGUACGUGCAGAAGAAGCGCCGGCUAACUACGUG
RNAcentral lists this ribosomal RNA (481 nucleotides) under uncultured bacterium. Its description in RNAcentral is "partial 16S ribosomal RNA". It matches the Rfam family "Bacterial small subunit ribosomal RNA", at positions 28 to 507 of the family's 1533-position model. The record is from RNAcentral.